AGUGAACGCUGGCGGUAGGCCUAACACAUGCAAGUCGAACGGCAGCACAGUAAGAGCUUGCUCUUACGGGUGGCGAGUGGCGGACGGGUGAGGAAUACAUCGGAAUCUACUUUUUCGUGGGGGAUAACGUAGGGAAACUUACGCUAAUACCGCAUACGACCUACGGGUGAAAGCAGGGGAUCUUCGGACCUUGCGCGAUUGAAUGAGCCGAUGUCGGAUUAGCUAGUUGGCGGGGUAAAGGCCCACCAAGGCGACGAUCCGUAGCUGGUCUGAGAGGAUGAUCAGCCACACUGGAACUGAGACACGGUCCAGACUCCGACGGGAGGCAGCAGUGGGGGAUAUUGGACAAUGGGCGCAAGCCUGAUCCAGCCAUACCGCGUGGGUGAAGAAGGCCUUCGGGUUGUAAAGCCCUUUUGUUGGGAAAGAAAAGCAGCAGGUUAAUACCCCGCGGUUCUGACGGUACCCAAAGAAUAAGCACCGGCUAACUUCGUG
RNAcentral lists this ribosomal RNA (492 nucleotides) under uncultured bacterium. RNAcentral describes it as "partial 16S ribosomal RNA". It matches the Rfam family "Bacterial small subunit ribosomal RNA", at positions 29 to 507 of the family's 1533-position model. The record is from RNAcentral.